Molecule: ribosomal RNA, 219 nt
Filed under: uncultured bacterium
Lineage: Bacteria
Description: partial 16S ribosomal RNA
Rfam family: Bacterial small subunit ribosomal RNA
Source: RNAcentral
CCUACGGGAGGCAGCACUCGAGAAUAGUAUCCAAUGGUCAUAAGNCUGUUAGUNAUAAAGGCAUUGGCCGAAAGUNNGAACCANCCAUGCCGCGUGCAGGAAUAAGGCCCUAUGGGUCGUAAACUGCUUUUGUGGUGGAGCAAUAAGACGUACGUGUACGUCGAUGAGAGUACAUCACGAAUAAGCAUCGGCUAACUCCGUGCCAGCAGCCGCGGUAAU